This 85-nucleotide transfer RNA is filed under the name Acidovorax sp. NB1. RNAcentral describes it as "tRNA-Gly". Lineage: Bacteria; Pseudomonadati; Pseudomonadota; Betaproteobacteria; Burkholderiales; Comamonadaceae. The record is from RNAcentral.
GGUUCAUCUGCUGCAGGUUGGCAGCCCACAUGCCGUGCGUGACGAUCACGGCCUUGGGCGCCUUGGUGGAGCCCGAGGUGAACAU